RNAcentral lists this ribosomal RNA (252 nucleotides) under uncultured bacterium. RNAcentral's name for it is "partial 16S ribosomal RNA". It matches the Rfam family "Bacterial small subunit ribosomal RNA", at positions 81 to 334 of the family's 1533-position model. The record is from RNAcentral.
AACGAAGAUGGCGACCGGCGCACGGGUGAGUAACACGUAUCCAACCUGCCUCAUACUCGGGGAUAGCCUUUCGAAAGAAAGAUUAAUAUCCGAUAGCAUAUAUUUCCCGCAUGGGUUUUAUAUUAAAGAAAUUCGGUAUGAGAUGGGGAUGCGUUCCAUUAGUUUGUUGGGGGGGUAACGGCCCACCAAGACUACGAUGGAUAGGGGUUCUGAGAGGAAGGUCCCCCACAUUGGAACUGAGACACGGUCCAA